UACGGGGGGGGCAAGCGUUGUUCGGAAUUACUUGGCGUAAAGGGCUCGUAGGCGGCCAACUAAGUCAAACGUGAAAUCCCUCGGCUUAACCGGGGAACUGCGUCUGAUACUGGAUGGCUUGAGUUUGGGAGAGGGAUGCGGAAUUCCAGGUGUAGCGGUGAAAUGCGUAGAUAUCUGGAGGAACACCGGUGGCGAAGGCGGCAUCCUGGACCAACACUGACGCUGAGGAGCGAAAGCCAGGGGAGCAAACGGG
RNAcentral lists this ribosomal RNA (253 nucleotides) under uncultured bacterium. RNAcentral describes it as "partial 16S ribosomal RNA". It matches the Rfam family "Bacterial small subunit ribosomal RNA", at positions 524 to 776 of the family's 1533-position model. The record is from RNAcentral.